CGCGUAGGUGGAAGUGUAAGUCAGACGUGAAAGCCCGGGACUCAACCCCGGAAUGGCAUCUGAAACUGCACUCCUAGAGGAUAGACGGAGAAAACGGAAUUCCACAUGUAGCGGUGAAAUGCGUAGAUAUGUGGAAGAACACCAGUGGCGAAGGCGGUUUUCUAGUUUAUUCCUGACACUGAGGCGCGAAAGCUAGGGGAGCGAACAGGAUUAGAUACCCUGGUAGUCC
RNAcentral lists this ribosomal RNA (229 nucleotides) under uncultured bacterium. RNAcentral describes it as "partial 16S ribosomal RNA". It matches the Rfam family "Bacterial small subunit ribosomal RNA", at positions 568 to 796 of the family's 1533-position model. The record is from RNAcentral.